This 527-nucleotide ribosomal RNA is filed under the name Betta pugnax (Penang betta). Its description in RNAcentral is "partial 16S ribosomal RNA". It matches the Rfam family "Bacterial large subunit ribosomal RNA", at positions 1856 to 2585 of the family's 2925-position model. Lineage: Eukaryota; Metazoa; Chordata; Actinopteri; Anabantiformes; Osphronemidae. The record is from RNAcentral.
CGCCUGCCCUGUGACAAAAGUUCAACGGCCGCGGUAUUUUGACCGUGCAAAGGUAGCGCAAUCACUUGUCUUUUAAAUGAAGACCUGUAUGAAUGGCAUGACGAGGGCUUAACUGUCUCCUUUUUCCAGUCAAUAAAAUUGAUCUUCCCGUGCAGAAGCGGGAAUAUAACCAUAAGACGAGAAGACCCUAUGGAGCUUUAGACACAAGACAGAUCUUGUUAAACACUUCAAAAUAAAGAAACAAACUAAAAGAACCCUGCCCUACUGUCUUCGGUUGGGGCGACCACGGGGAGAUAAAUAACCCCCACGCGGACUGAGAAAACAGUUCUCACAACCAAGAGCUACAGCUCUAAUCAACAGAAAAUCUGACCUCAAGAUCCGGCAACGCCGAUCAACGAACCAAGUUACCCUAGGGAUAACAGCGCAAUCCCCUUUUAGAGUCCAUAUCGACAAGGGGGUUUACGACCUCGAUGUUGGAUCAGGACAUCCUAAUGGUGCAGCAGCUAUUAAGGGUUCGUUUGUUCAAC